GCAUCGGUAGUUCAAUGGUAGAAUUCUUGCCUUCCAUGCAAGAAACCCAAGUUAGCUUCCUGGCCGAUGUA
RNAcentral lists this transfer RNA (71 nucleotides) under Loxodonta africana (African savanna elephant). It matches the Rfam family "tRNA". From Rfam's summary of the family: Transfer RNA (tRNA) molecules are approximately 80 nucleotides in length. Their secondary structure includes four short double-helical elements and three loops (D, anti-codon, and T loops). Lineage: Eukaryota; Metazoa; Chordata; Mammalia; Proboscidea; Elephantidae. The record is from Rfam by way of RNAcentral.